CGGAGACAAUUUGACUUCCUCUCUUCCUAUUUGAAUACCCUUUAUUUAUUUCUCUUGCCUGAUUGCCCUGGCCAGAACUUCCAAUACAAUGUUGAAUAGGAAUGGUGAGAAAGGGAAUCCUUGUCUUGUGCCAGUUUUCAAAGGGAAUGCUUCCAGCUUUUGCCCAUUCAGUAUGAUAUUGGCUGCAGGUUUGUCAUACAUAGCUCUUAUUAUUUUGAGAUACGUUCCAUCAAUACCUAGUUUAUUCAGAGUUUUUAGCAUGAAGGGGUGUUGAAUUUUAUCGAAGGCCUUUUCUGCAUUUAUUGAGAUAAUCAUGUGGUUUUUGUCUUUGGUUCUGUUUAUGUGAUGAAUUAUGUUUAUUGAUUUGCAUAUGUUGAACCAGCCUUGCAUCCCAGGGAUGAAGCAGACUUGAUCAUGGUGGAUACGCUUUGUGAUGGACUGCCCAACAGUUUUAAAUGUAAAUUGAAAGGGAUCUGGGUCUCUUCUCUGUGUCCCAGACCCCAGUACUGGUCCAAGCCCUGAAGACUGCACCCAGGAAAGUGGAGGUAUGGACAGAGGCAGCCGGUGCCUGAGGAAGCUCCACGGGGCAGGCAAGGCCCCCACGUCCAGUCUCAGCCCCUCUUUUGGCCACAUGCCGGAGAAGGAAAUUUUGUGCCUUGAAUAAUGAAUCCCCCUGGAGCCCACGGUACCUGUACUUCUCUUUAGUGUCCACUGAGAAUAACGUGUUCGACAUUCAAGUGACAACACUGGAAAGCAUUUCAAAGCCCUGGAGCCCCAGAACGCUGUACACCCCGACGGCUCUUCUGCCUGCCCUCUCUUUGGCUUCCAAAUGCAGCAAGCUCUUUCUUUACUUAAAAUGUGUUCAUCUUUCACACGCAUCCUGGAUGUACCACAGAAAGACAGUACAGAUAGGCAGGCUCUUAUUUCUGAAGCUGAGCUGGUCCCGCCCAGCACAAAGCUUUAAAGCUGCUAAGGCUCCAGGAUAUUAUCCAGUUUUUAAAAAUGGAAAAACUGGGAACAGGGAGGCUCAAUAUCUUGUCCCAGGCCCAAACAGGCUUUUCUGGAGUCAGUAUCAUUCAACUGGCUCAGGCUGGAUUUUCAUAAGAAAAGAUAAUAAACAUUUACUAAUGUAAUAAAAUAGACACCUUUUAAGUCACAAGCAGUAUCCAAACCUUUGGGACAUUCUAUGGUGCUGAACAGCUAUUUCAUAGAGGCUUUAUGUUAAGGAGCAAGUGCAGAAAAAAAUCUGAAAAUCUCAGUAAGAUGAGAAAACGAAAGCUUUACAAAAUGGUAGAAGAAAGUAGUCUCUCAUGCCUAAACUUCCAAAUAAGUUUUUGUUUGUUUGUUUUGGGUUUUUAGUUGAGCAUUCUUUCUGGUUUGAAAUAGAUUCAGAAGGCUUUUUAAAACAAGUCACUUUUGGCCAAAUAUAUUAAGGUAUAACCAAAUGAUACCAUAGAUCCAUUUAGAAAACAGAAAGUUCUUUACUGACAUGAAAGGAUUUCUAAGACAUAUUCAUAAGUAAAAAAGCAAAUAUACUACUAUUUG
This 1545-nucleotide long non-coding RNA is filed under the name Homo sapiens (human). RNAcentral describes it as "HSALNT0326892". Lineage: Eukaryota; Metazoa; Chordata; Mammalia; Primates; Hominidae. The record is from RNAcentral.